UACGAAGGGUGCAAGCGUUAUCCGGAUUCACUGGGUUUAAAGGGUGCGUCGGUCGGCUAGUAAGUCCGUGGUGAAAUCCCCGAGCUUAACUCGGGAACUGCCGUGGAUACUAUUAGUCUUGAAUAUCGUGGAGGUAAGCGGAAUAUGUCAUGUAGCGGUGAAAUGCUUAGAUAUGACAUAGAACACCGAUAGCGAAGGCAGCUUACUACGCGAUUAUUGACACUGAGGCACGAAAGCGUAAGGAUCAAACAGG
This 253-nucleotide ribosomal RNA is filed under the name uncultured bacterium. RNAcentral describes it as "partial 16S ribosomal RNA". It matches the Rfam family "Bacterial small subunit ribosomal RNA", at positions 524 to 776 of the family's 1533-position model. The record is from RNAcentral.